UACGGGGGGUGCAAGCGUUAUUCGGAAUUAUUGGGCGUAAAGAGCGCGUAGGCGGUCUUUUAAGUCAGAUGUGAAAGCCCGGGGCUCAACCCCGGAAGUGCAUUUGAAACUAGAGGACUUGAGUAUGGGAGAGGGAAGUGGAAUUCCUGGUGUAGAGGUGAAAUUCGUAGAUAUCAGGAGGAACACCGGUGGCGAAGGCGACUUCCUGGACCAAUACUGACGCUGAGGCGCGAAGGCGUGGGGAGCAAACAGGAUUAGAUACCCUGGUAGUCCACGCAGUAAACGUUGAUCACUAGGUGUAGCGGGUAUUGACCCCUGCUGUGCCGCAGUUAACGCAUUAAGUGAUCCGCCUGGGGAGUACGGUCGCAAGAUUAAA
RNAcentral lists this ribosomal RNA (376 nucleotides) under uncultured bacterium. RNAcentral describes it as "bacterial SSU rRNA". It matches the Rfam family "Bacterial small subunit ribosomal RNA", at positions 524 to 898 of the family's 1533-position model. The record is from RNAcentral.